GAGAGCCAAGAGAUCCGUUGCAGAAAGUUGUA
This 32-nucleotide ribosomal RNA is filed under the name uncultured fungus. RNAcentral's name for it is "partial 18S ribosomal RNA". Lineage: Eukaryota; Fungi. The record is from RNAcentral.